RNAcentral lists this long non-coding RNA (1268 nucleotides) under Canis lupus familiaris (dog). RNAcentral describes it as "lncRNA (ENSCAFG00845006971.1)". The stretch from base 699 to 779 matches the Rfam family "tRNA". The record is from RNAcentral. Lineage: Eukaryota; Metazoa; Chordata; Mammalia; Carnivora; Canidae.
AGGAUUAUAUUUCAAAGGGAGGUUUCUCCCUGAGAAAGACAUUUCUGGGUUAUAAAACCGGCAGGAGGCUGGGGGAUUUUCUGUCUCAUAGGUGCAGAGAAAGAAUCUACAGUUGAAAGUUUUCUAAGGCAAAGGAUUUUUUAGGAAAGGGAGGUCAGGGACCUAGAGUGAAAGAAAAACCUGCCCAAAGUUUGGUCAGGCUGAAGGAAACAGUGAGGCUGUCUUGAUCACGUUAAAGGCCAGGGUGAGAGGAGUGACCAUGAACCAAAAGUUAGACCUGUCAGUCCAGCUCUGUACUCUGUACUCAUGCUACAACCCGACACGUCAGAGAGUUUGAUUUAGGGAGAACUGCGGUGUUCCUAAGUGACAGUGAUAAAGCAGAAGGACAAAGGAGUGGAGGGUGUAGGCCAGGAGGUGAUUCAAAUGGACCAGAAACUUUAAAGAUACAUAACUGAAGGGAAAGGGGAGCACCUGGGCAUAAAAGGGAUAAUGAAAAAUUAGUAAGCUCAUUGGUCUGAAGGUGUUGGUAGGGUAAAGAAUUAGGUGGCUGUGGAAGUAGAGGGUGUAAGCAGAAAAGAGGGAAGGUGGUGGCCAGAGGUGUGGUGCUUAGAACUGACAAGAUCUGGAGGGUAACAGUAGGGAAAGGGGCUGAUCCAGAGGGUAGGACUAGAUCCGUGGCAGCAAGGAGGUCUGGGGAAGCCUGGGUGGCUCAGUGGUUGAGCAUCUGCCUUUGGCUCAGGGUGUGAUCGGGGUCCUGGGAUUGAAUCCCAUCUCAGACUCCCCACAGGGAGCCUUCUUCUCUUUAUAUCUCUGCCUCUCUCUGUAUCUCUUGUGAAUUAAAACUAAAAAAAUCUUUAAGGAGGGGGUCCCUGGAUGACUGAGUUGGUUAAGUGUCUGCCUUUGGCUCAGGUUAUGAUCCUAUGGUCCUGGGAUGGAGCCCCAUGUCCCCAAGUCAGGCUUCUUGCUCAGCGGGGAGUCUGCUUCUUCCUUUCCCCCUGCCUGCCACCACCCCCACCCUGCUUGUGGUCCGUCUCUUUGUGUCAAAUAAAUAAAUAAAUAUCUUUAAAAAAUAAAUAAAACAAAAUCUUUAAGGAAUAAGAAACAGUGAGCCGGAGGCAAGACAGACCAUAAAUUACAUUUAAAAUAGUGGCAAUUAUUUUCUAGUGCCCAGCAGUUCAUCCAACAAUAAUGGAAUAAUUGCUAAAAUGUAAAUCAUCAGUCUCUCUAGUAAAUCCAUUGAACAAAAAAAAAAAAAAAAAAAAAAAAAA